This 483-nucleotide ribosomal RNA is filed under the name uncultured eukaryote. Its description in RNAcentral is "SSU rRNA". It matches the Rfam family "Eukaryotic small subunit ribosomal RNA", at positions 21 to 503 of the family's 1831-position model. The record is from RNAcentral.
UAGUCAUAUGCUUGUCUCAAAGAUUAAGCCAUGCAUGUCUAAGUAUACGCAAAUUAUACUGUGAAACUGCGAAUGGCUCAUUAAAUCAGUUAUAGUUUAUUUGAUGUUUCUUGCUACAUGGAUAACUGUGGUAAUUCUAGAGCUAAUACAUGCGUAAAAAGCCCCGACUUCUGGAAGGGGUGUAUUUAUUAGAUAAAAACCAUCCUCCUCGGAGUUUGGUGAUUCAUAAUAACUUCUCGAAUCGCACGGCCUUGUGCUGGCGAUGCUUCAUUCAAAUAUCUGCCCUAUCAACUGUCGAUGGUAGGAUAGAGGCCUACCAUGGUUGCAACGGGUAACGGGGAAUAAGGGUUCGAUUCCGGAGAGGGAGCCUGAGAAACGGCUACCACUAUCCGAAGGAAGGCGAGCGAGGCGCGCGAAAUUACCCGAAUCCCGACGACGGGGAGGUAGUGACGAUAAAUAACGAUGCGGGGCCCUUUUGGGUCU